RNAcentral lists this long non-coding RNA (300 nucleotides) under Phoenix dactylifera (date palm). RNAcentral's name for it is "long non-coding RNA (PDAC_LNC006414)". The record is from RNAcentral. Lineage: Eukaryota; Viridiplantae; Streptophyta; Magnoliopsida; Arecales; Arecaceae.
UUUUGGUGAUCGACAAACCCAUUCAAAAGAAGAUAAUAGAUGUGUGAUCAUUAAAGAGGCUACUAGUUUUGAUCGCGCAUUGAUCGCCCAUAGAUAUGAGAGAAUGCUUGCAUAUUAGACAUCAAUAUAGAAGAAAAGAAGUAAAUUGUUCUAGGUGGACUCAGAAUAUUAUUUCCAACAACUUGAUGUUGAUAUCUUUGGCAUGGGAAUCAUAUGCUCCCAUGGAAUAAAUGCAUAAAAAUGUGAGGAAGGGAGACUUGUUAGGCAUGACACUCAUGUUAUCUUAAUUUUGAAAAGGAA